AGAGUUUGAUCCUGGCUCAGGACGAACGCUGGCGGCGUGCCUAAUACAUGCAAGUAGAACGCUGAAGAGAGGAGCUUGCUCUUCUUGGAUGAGUUGCGAACGGGUGAGUAACGCGUAGGUAACCUGCCUUGUAGCGGGGGAUAACUAUUGGAAACGAUAGCUAAUACCGCAUAACAAUGGAUGACACAUGUCAUUUAUUUGAAAGGGGCAAUUGUUCCACUACAAGAUGGACCUGCGUUGUAUUAGCUAGUAGGUGAGGUAAUGGCUCACCUAGGCGACGAUACAUAGCCGACCUGAGAGGGUGAUCGGCCACACUGGGACUGAGACACGGCCCAGACUCCUACGGGAGGCAGCAGUAGGGAAUCUUCGGCAAUGGGGGCAACCCUGACCGAGCAACGCCGCGUGAGUGAAGAAGGUUUUCGGAUCGUAAAGCUCUGUUGUAAGUCAAGAACGGGUGUGAGAGUGGAAAGUUCACACUGUGACGGUAGCUUACCAGAAAGGGACGGCUAACUACGUGCCAGCAGCCGCGGUAAUACGUAGGUCCCGAGCGUUGUCCGGAUUUAUUGGGCGUAAAGCGAGCGCAGGCGGUUUGAUAAGUCUGAAGUUAAAGGCUGUGGCUCAACCAUAGUUCGCUUUGGAAACUGUCAAACUUGAGUGCAGAAGGGGAGAGUGGAAUUCCAUGUGUAGCGGUGAAAUGCGUAGAUAUAUGGAGGAACACCGGUGGCGAAAGCGGCUCUCUGGUCUGUAACUGACGCUGAGGCUCGAAAGCGUGGGGAGCGAACAGGAUUAGAUACCCUGGUAGUCCACGCCGUAAACGGUGAGUGCUAGGUGUUGGAUCCUUUCCGGGAUUCAGUGCCGCAGCUAACGCAUUAAGCACUCCGCCUGGGGAGUACGACCGCAAGGUUGAAACUCAAAGGAAUUGACGGGGGCCCGCACAAGCGGUAGAGCAUGUGGUUUAAUUCGAAGCAACGCGAAGAACCUUACCAGGUCUUGACAUCCCGAUGCUAUUUCUAGAGAUAGAAAGUUACUUCGGUACAUCGGUGACAGGUGGUGCAUGGUUGUCGUCAGCUCGUGUCGUGAGAUGUUGGGUUAAGUCCCGCAACGAGCGCAACCCCUAUUGUUAGUUGCCAUCAUUCAGUUGGGCACUCUAGCGAGACUGCCGGUAAUAAACCGGAGGAAGGUGGGGAUGACGUCAAAUCAUCAUGCCCCUUAUGACCUGGGCUACACACGUGCUACAAUGGUUGGUACAACGAGUUGCGAGUCGGUGACGGCGAGCUAAUCUCUUAAAGCCAAUCUCAGUUCGGAUUGUAGGCUGCAACUCGCCUACAUGAAGUCGGAAUCGCUAGUAAUCGCGGAUCAGCACGCCGCGGUGAAUACGUUCCCGGGCCUUGUACACACCGCCCGUCACACCACGAGAGUUUGUAACACCCGAAGUCGGUGAGGUAACCUUUUGGAGCCAGCCGCCUAAGGUGGGACAGAUGAUUGGGGUGAAGUCGUAACAAGGUA
Molecule: ribosomal RNA, 1506 nt
Filed under: metagenome
Description: bacterial SSU rRNA
Rfam family: Bacterial small subunit ribosomal RNA
Source: RNAcentral